RNAcentral lists this ribosomal RNA (450 nucleotides) under uncultured bacterium. Its description in RNAcentral is "partial 16S ribosomal RNA". It matches the Rfam family "Bacterial small subunit ribosomal RNA", at positions 354 to 796 of the family's 1533-position model. The record is from RNAcentral.
GUGGGGAAUCUUCCGCAAUGGACGAAAGUCUGACGGAGCGACGCCGCGUGAGUGAAGAAGGCCUUCGGGUCGUAAAGCUCUGUCAUCAGGGACGAAUGGCCGGUGGAGUGGAAAGCCACCGGAUUGACGGUACCUGAGAAGGAAGCCACGGCUAACUACGUGCCAGCAGCCGCGGUAAUACGUAGGUGGCAAGCGUUGUCCGGAAUUAUUGGGCGUAAAGCGCGCGCAGGUGGGAUCUUAAGUCCAUUUUGAAAGUUCGGAGCUCAACUCCGUGAUGGGAUGGAAACUGGGAUUCUUGAGUACCGGAGAGGAAAGUGGAAUUCCAAGUGUAGCGGUGAAAUGCGUAGAGAUUUGGAAGAACACCAGUGGCGAAGGCGACUUUCUGGACGAUGUCUGACGCUGAGGCGCGAAAGCUAGGGGAGCAAUCAGGAUUAGAAACCCCAGUAGUCC